GGCAGUGUAGCAUAAUGGGUAGGGAGUUGGUCUUGUAACCUAAAGGUCGCAGGUUCGAUUCCGCAGUAGGACACUGUUG
Molecule: transfer RNA, 79 nt
Filed under: Anguilla anguilla (European eel)
Lineage: Eukaryota; Metazoa; Chordata; Actinopteri; Anguilliformes; Anguillidae
Description: tRNA-OTHER
Source: RNAcentral